This 349-nucleotide ribosomal RNA is filed under the name uncultured bacterium. RNAcentral describes it as "bacterial SSU rRNA". It matches the Rfam family "Bacterial small subunit ribosomal RNA", at positions 359 to 727 of the family's 1533-position model. The record is from RNAcentral.
UGGUGUUGGCCUGGGCGCAGCCUGAUCAGCGACGCCGCGUGGGUGAUGAAGGCCUUCGGGUUGUAAAGCCCUUUCGACGGGGACGAUGAUGACGGUACCCGGCGAAGAAGCACCGGCUAACUCCGUGCCAGCAGCCGCGGUAAGACGGAGGGUGCUAGCGUUGUUCGGAAUCACUGGGCGUAAAGGGCGCGUAGGCGGCUCGGCCUGUCCGGCUGUUAAAACCCCGGGGUUCACCCCCGGAGGUGCCUCCAAACCUGCCGGCUUGAAGGCCGGAAAAGAAGGUGGAAUUCCCCGUGGUAAGGUUAAAUUUCUUAAUUUUUGGUUGGAACCCCGUUGGCAAAGCCGGUCU